GAAGGAGGCAGUGAAGGGCAGGGCGGUUACUCACAGAUUCCUGGCCCAGGUGCGAAGGGACCUGGCAUCUGUCUGGUUUCCAGUCCCAAGAAAUACGGGGAUGGUCCUCAGACAGCUCGUCCUCAAGCCCUCCUCCCUAGCACUCAACAAAGGGCAGCUGGGAUUCUGAUUCUGAUCAUGAAACAAUGAUGCUUUCUGAGGUGUCCAAACACCAUCCUAUGGGUUCACCCAAGCAGGCUUCACUUUUAUUCUUUUCCAUAAAGUGUAUCUGUCCAACAACCAGGCUUGGGUAAUUCAAGAUUUGAGCCCUGUUAAAUGUUCACAUAAAUAAACAUGCAAACCAAGGCAGAAAAA
Non-coding RNA from Sus scrofa (pig), 354 nucleotides. Lineage: Eukaryota; Metazoa; Chordata; Mammalia; Artiodactyla; Suidae. The record is from RefSeq and is a predicted model, not a curated record.